This is a small nuclear RNA of Otolemur garnettii (small-eared galago), 110 nucleotides long. Lineage: Eukaryota; Metazoa; Chordata; Mammalia; Primates; Galagidae. The record is from Ensembl.
GAGUUAGAUGAGAGAAGAGAGGUCAGCACUCCGCUUGACAAGGGUGGAAGAGGCCCCCCACCUGACAGCAUGCGUGUGGCCACCACCUUUGUGCCAUGUAACCAUCUUUU